Molecule: ribosomal RNA, 509 nt
Filed under: uncultured bacterium
Lineage: Bacteria
Description: partial 16S ribosomal RNA
Rfam family: Bacterial small subunit ribosomal RNA
Source: RNAcentral
AUUGAACGCUGGCGGCAUGCCUAACACAUGCAAGUCGAACGGCAGCACAGUGUGUAGCAAUACACAUGGGUGGCGAGCGGCGGACGGGUGAGUAAUGCGUAGGAAUCUGCCCUUAAGUGGGGGAUAGCCCGGAGAAAUCCGGAUUAAUACCGCAUGUGCUCUACGGAGCAAAGCGGGCCUCUGUUCCGAGCUCGCGCUUGAGGAUGAGCCUACGUCGGAUUAGCUAGUUGGUGGGGUAAAGGCCUACCAAGGCGACGAUCCGUAGCUGGUCUGAGAGGAUGACCUGCCACACUGGGACUGAGACACGGCCCAGACUCCUACGGGAGGCAGCAGUGGGGAAUAUUGGACAAUGGGCGAAAGCCUGAUCCAGCAAUGCCGCGUGUGUGAAGAAGGCCUGCGGGUUGUAAAGCACUUUUGUCGGGAAAGAAAAUCACAGGGUUAAUACCCCUGUGCCUUGACGGUACCCGAAGAAUAAGCACCGGCUAACUCCGUGCCAGCCGCCGCCGUAA